UUAUCGGAGAGUUUGAUCCUGGCUCAGGACGAACGCUGGCGGCGUGCCUAAUACAUGCAAGUCGAGCGGACAGAUGGGAGCUUGCUCCCUGAUGUUAGCGGCGGACGGGUGAGUAACACGUGGGUAACCUGCCUGUAAGACUGGGAUAACUCCGGGAAACCGGGGCUAAUACCGGAUGGUUGUCUGAACCGCAUGGUUCAGACAUAAAAGGUGGCUUCGGCUACCACUUACAGAUGGACCCGCGGCGCAUUAGCUAGUUGGUGAGGUAACGGCUCACCAAGGCGACGAUGCGUAGCCGACCUGAGAGGGUGAUCGGCCACACUGGGACUGAGACACGGCCCAGACUCCUACGGGAGGCAGC
RNAcentral lists this ribosomal RNA (361 nucleotides) under Bacillus velezensis. Its description in RNAcentral is "bacterial SSU rRNA". It matches the Rfam family "Bacterial small subunit ribosomal RNA", at positions 1 to 352 of the family's 1533-position model. RNAcentral also lists the same sequence under 12 other names. The record is from RNAcentral. Lineage: Bacteria; Bacillati; Bacillota; Bacilli; Caryophanales; Bacillaceae.